Molecule: non-coding RNA, 1126 nt
Organism: Poecilia reticulata (guppy)
Lineage: Eukaryota; Metazoa; Chordata; Actinopteri; Cyprinodontiformes; Poeciliidae
Source: RefSeq, a predicted model, not a curated record
UUAAAGUUGUCUGUCUUUCUAAGAUAAGCUAACUGAAGCUAGUUAGCAUGUAGUGAAAUGCCAAUUUUCACCCGCGGGUUAAAGAGCCGCUCUUGUGAAUAUGAGCUUUGAACAGUUAUUAACCACAAUAGCUGUGGCUUAAAAAUAAUAUCGACACGAGUUUUUGGUAGCUUCCGUUUUGUAACAUAACACUUUUGUUAUGAAUCUCAAGCUACGAAUGAGAUUCAGAAGCUCUCAUUCGUAGCUUCUGAAUCGGGAAAUGGUUAAAGGGAAAUUCUGCCUAGUAUUUCACUAAUUUUGCGGGUGUUUGAUGUGCUGUGAUUUAAAAACUUAAAUGCAAUGAGUCUAAAAGCCUAGGUUAGAUAUUCCACACUGUUACCAGGAUAUUUUAAACACUAUUUUUAAUUGGUGAAUUUAAGUAGUCCUAGUUUGAUUUAAUUAAAAUGACUGUCUUGCUAUCUUGAAUUCAUGUAAUAUUGUAAUUGAGCACAUGAACUAAAAUAAGACUUGUUUUAUUUUUCAAGUAAACCAAACUGUUGCCAUGGUGAAGCCUAUGCUAGACAAGUCUCCAAUCACGUAUUGCACCAUCUACAAGAAACUGGGAAUUGCAAGUGACUCUGUCCUUCACAUUCUUGAGCAGAUGACCCAACAACUUCAAUCAAACAAGAUCACUUUUCAGCUCUGUGGUGAUCGUGAAACCAACUUUCUACUGGCCAUUGGAACCAUGCCUGCCCUGAUCUUCUGAAAGGAGGACAUCACAGCUACUACACCUUUCAGCAUGCGUGUGUGGGGCCACUCCUCUCUGUGCUGCUGUCAGAUUUCUUGAGAACGCCGUCCGUAACUGAGACAAGACUUCCACAUAUAAAAGGCUAUGGCUGAUUGGAAGAAGUUCAUUGCGGAGUAAUGGUGACAUCUAAUCCCAAGUUUAUUUUUGCUUUGGACAAUUUGGUUUGCUUGACUCUUAGGGCAUCUUAUGAGUGCGGCAGAUGUGUCAGAUCGUCAUUGUUCUGUCAUUUUACAGGAUUGUUUCAGAAUCAGAUGCCCAUCCAGACUUUAAAUUCUGACCAGUAGUCAUGUUUUAUUGUGUUUAUGUGAAAAUUAAACGUAAUAAAGAUGUUAAAAGUAA